Agrilus planipennis (emerald ash borer) is the source of this 845-nucleotide long non-coding RNA. RefSeq lists it as uncharacterized. NCBI's taxonomy places the organism in Eukaryota, Metazoa, Arthropoda, Insecta, Coleoptera, Buprestidae. The record is from RefSeq and is a predicted model, not a curated record. The transcript has 3 exons.
UAUAGCAGCAGUAGUGAAUACAUCUUCUGCAUAUCCACUUUUCAUACCCAAACAAUUUUAAGUCUUCAUUUUCAAUUUAUUAUAAGUACUGUUAGCUAGAUUUAUUACUCUUUUGUUUGCCAUUUUACGUUACUGAAGUUGGUCAUUGGUACUGCUGUUAUUGUCAGUCCAGCGUUUAAAGCCCCGGUAGGUUGCAGGUGAAAUAACUGACUUCAGUACAAUUUCCUUAUUUGAAUCUUCCAAGUUGGAAAAGAAAGUCUGUAAAUGCUGUAUGCUGGAAGAAGGCUAUAUAGAUUGUUUUUUUAAAAGCACAAAACUACAUUUUACCAUCCAUUGGCGAACAGUUAAGAUUGCCUAACAAAUAAGAGAUAUUGGGAAGUUAAUUUUAACCCUAGUGAUGACGACUGCGCUAGCAUCUUUUCUAAAUUCAGUUUACUUUCUACACAUGUAAACCAUGGAACGUCGCAUUCUACAGAUUAUUCAGGUAAUACUACAUUAGUUAAUAUACAAUAUAGUAUGAAUUAUACUUUAUUAAUCUGGUGUCAUUUUGGUUAACAAAAGGCCUGGUUGGCGUUUAUAGCUCCACUUAGUUUCGCUGAUUUUGCCACCAAAAUUUAUAGAGAACAUUAAUUUGUACUUCCAAAUUAAUUAUUAAUAUUUAAAACGUUGAUUUUUAAAACCGAGUCUUUAAUAAGUAAAGGAAUUAAAACUGCUACUGCAGCCAGACGCUCAGAAUACUUUGCAGUGAAGCGGGUCGCCUAUACCAAGGACGAACACUCGCCAGAGGCAUUUAUAUGUAUUUUAAAUUGAAAUUAUCAUGAUACCGAUGUUACAGUACGAGUCGA